This 1076-nucleotide long non-coding RNA is filed under the name Orussus abietinus. RNAcentral's name for it is "uncharacterized LOC105699349, transcript variant X1". Lineage: Eukaryota; Metazoa; Arthropoda; Insecta; Hymenoptera; Orussidae. The record is from RNAcentral.
CGCUUCGACAGCUUCCUCCCACUCUCGAUCUUUCACGCUUCCUGGACCUCCGUCUCCUCCUCGACGAAGCUUCGGCAUUGAUACCACCGUUAACACCUUUCUGUUAAUAAACGGAAGAUAAAUAGUGUUACAAAAAAAUCCAUACGAUAGAGUUAUCACCUGAGAUCAGCUUGGAGAGCCGACAUGUCGCCACCGGCAUGUUCGCCCAAUCUUUUGAGAGUUUCCGCGAGCGGCCCGCGAAGAGCUUGCAGCCGUCUCCAGGAAUGAGCGUAUUGUCUUCUGACCAGCUCUAUUAUUGUGCUGGUUAAUGCUAGGCCUACCAGGAUGUACAAGCUACUGCGCCCGAAUAAACGAAGACCCACUUGGAACCAAGUCGCCGAAGCCGAUCGUGGUCAUGGUCACGAAGCAGAAGUAGAACCCUUCGAAAAAAUCCCAGUCCUCUUCCCAGAGCAUGAACAUGCCGGCUCCACAAGCAAGCUAGAUUCGUGGGUAUGCACGAAGUCACGGCAGCAGGAAGUUUCUCACGAAUUCUCAGACCAAUUUCGCUGACACCCUCGGCGAACAACUUUCCCCAAUCGGCGAUCACUGUCAAUGUCAGUGGUAUGCCAAUCAGAGCGAAGAGAAUGCAGAAUAUCCUGCCCCAACUGGUAGUCGGAAUUGGACGUCUUUUUAAGCCAAACUCUCCGCAACUAUAGACAAAGCCCGACAAUGGGUAUUUCCUUGUUCGAGGGCGUUGGCGGCGGGUUACUUUCCCGGCGCAUAUUAAUUGGGACGUCAUAAAAGGGAGAGGAGGGAGAACAAUCCCCUAACCCCGAGUAUGGCUGUCGACGAUCCCGGAAUCCAGGGUACCACGUCCCUUUCGGCAGUACGUACUAGUCUGGGAAAGAGGUAACUACUGGCAGGAACUAAUAUUCCCCGCAGGAGGACAGCUUUUCCUCGAGUGCCUUUCAUCUGCGAACAAACAAUCCUCCACGCGCGUAACGCUAGACAGAAGAAUCGGAGAUGGAGGAAGGAAAUUUCCCCCACGGUUUGGAACCUCACCUCUCGACUCGUCUCGCUAUUCAAGAUCAUUCUAC